Long non-coding RNA from Neodiprion virginianus, 329 nucleotides. RefSeq lists it as uncharacterized. The transcript has 2 exons. The record is from RefSeq and is a predicted model, not a curated record. NCBI's taxonomy places the organism in Eukaryota, Metazoa, Arthropoda, Insecta, Hymenoptera, Diprionidae.
GAGACAUAAGCAAACUCGGGACAAGUGGGCGUGCGCUCGACACGCGGCCAUCUUUCUAGUCCCUUGGUUAUACUCGGUUUUGGACAAGUUCCACGGUCAGUGAGACGCGUCGCGAUGAGCAGGCAUCAGGUAAACACAGAUGACCCAGCGAUUACAACCGUCACCGCAAAACAACAUUUUUCUCGAGACGCCUCCGAAGAUUUGCUGCCAACGGCUUAGUUUUUAAUAUAUUCCACAGACAUUUUCAGAAAAUAUUCUUGAAACGUUACUCUACAAUACUGUAAUCAGUUAAUAUAAAAUAAAUUGCCUGUAAUUUGUAGAAAAAUGUA